CAGUCGCCGCGGUAAUACGAAGGGGGCUAGCGUUGCUCGGAAUGACUGGGCGUAAAGGGCGCGUAGGCGGAUUGUUUAGUUAGGCGUGAAAUUCCUGGGCUUAACCUGGGGACUGCGCUUAAUACAGCAGUCUAGAGUGAGGAAGAGGGUUGUGGAAUUCCCAGUGUAGAGGUGAAAUUCGUAGAUAUUGGGAAGAACACCGGUGGCGAAGGCGACAACCUGGUCCUUGACUGACGCUGAGGCGCGAAAGCGUGGGGAGCAAACAGGAUUAGAUACCCCCGUAGUCCCUGUCUCUUAUACA
This 301-nucleotide ribosomal RNA is filed under the name uncultured bacterium. RNAcentral's name for it is "partial 16S ribosomal RNA". It matches the Rfam family "Bacterial small subunit ribosomal RNA", at positions 509 to 808 of the family's 1533-position model. The record is from RNAcentral.